GGGGAAUAUUGCACAAUGGAGGAAACUCUGAUGCAGCGACGCCGCGUGAGUGAAGAAGGUCUUCGGAUCGUAAAACUCUGUCCUUGGUGACGAAAAAAAUGACGGUAGCCAAGGAGGAAGCCCCGGCUAACUACGUGCCAGCAGCCGCGGUAAUACGUAGGGGGCGAGCGUUGUCCGGAUUUACUGGGCGUAAAGGGUGAGUAGGCGGUAAUAUGUGUCAGAUGUAAAAGGCUAUGGCUUAACCAUAGUUGGCAUUUGAAACUGUAUUACUUGAGUGCAGGAGAGGUAAGUGGAAUUCCUAGUGUAGCGGUGAAAUGCGUAGAUAUUAGGAGGAACACCAGUGGCGAAGGCGACUUACUGGACUGUAACUGACGCUCAGACGCGAAAGCUAGGGUAGCAAACG
RNAcentral lists this ribosomal RNA (403 nucleotides) under uncultured bacterium. RNAcentral's name for it is "bacterial SSU rRNA". It matches the Rfam family "Bacterial small subunit ribosomal RNA", at positions 356 to 774 of the family's 1533-position model. The record is from RNAcentral.